UCUCCGUUGGUGAACCAGCGGAGGGAUCAUUACAGAGUGCAAACUCAUAACCCUUUGUGAACCUAUAUCUGUUGCUUCGGCGGCUCGCUCUCGGGCGAGCCCGCCGGUAAUAUCAGUAUCCCUGUUUGAACCCGACGAUACUUCUGAGUGUUCUUAGCGAACAGUUAAAACUUUUAACAACGGAUCUCUUGGCUCUA
RNAcentral lists this unclassified non-coding RNA (197 nucleotides) under plant metagenome. RNAcentral's name for it is "partial contains small subunit ribosomal RNA, internal transcribed spacer 1, and 5.8S ribosomal RNA". The record is from RNAcentral.